Chelonoidis abingdonii (Abingdon island giant tortoise) is the source of this 279-nucleotide non-coding RNA. Lineage: Eukaryota; Metazoa; Chordata; Testudines; Testudinidae. The record is from RefSeq and is a predicted model, not a curated record.
AUGAGCCCAGCUGUGGCAGUGGGCAGCCCUGCCCCCCUUGGAGCACCUGCGUGUCCUGGGCUGGGCACUUGUCCUGCUGCUGCAUUCUGGGCUUCUAUCUCAGCCGGACCAUGGGCUGUGUGCCAGCCAGGACGUUCCCAGGGUGCCUCUCCCUGCGGGCCCCCGGCCCGGCGCCCCCGAGCCCGCUGCCACCUGCCGAGCUGCGCAGGAUCAUCACCCAGCUGGAAAGCCUGUUCCAGCCUAUCCUGGGCAAAUUGGACACGCGUUAUCUGUCUCCUC